GAUGAAGAACGUAGCAAAAUGCGAUAAGUAAUGUGAAUUGCAGAAUUCAGUGAAUCAUCGAAUCUUUGAACGCACAUUGCGGCCAUAGGUAUUCCUUUGGCCAUGCCUGUUCGAGCGUCAUUUACACCCUCAAGCCUAGCUUGGUGUUGGGCGCCUGUCCCGCCGUUUUCGCGCGCGGACUCGCCUCAAAGUCAUUGGCGGCGGUCGUGCCGGCCCCCUCGCGCAGCACAUUUGCGCUUCUCGGAGGCCCGGCGGAUCCGCGCUCCAGCAAGACCUUUCACGACUUGACCUCGGAUCAGGUAGGGAUACCCGCUGAACUUAAGCAUAUCAAUAAGCGGAGGA
Molecule: unclassified non-coding RNA, 342 nt
Filed under: soil metagenome
Description: partial contains 5.8S ribosomal RNA, internal transcribed spacer 2, and large subunit ribosomal RNA
Rfam family: 5.8S ribosomal RNA (bases 1-120)
Source: RNAcentral